UGGGAAUUUGGACAAUGGGCGAAAGCCUGAUCCAGCAAUGCCGCGUGUGUGAAGAAGGCCUUCGGGUUGUAAAGCACUUUUGUCCGGAAAGAAAUCCUUGGCUCUAAUACAGUCGGGGGAUGACGGUACCGGAAGAAUAAGCACCGGCUAACUACGUGCCAGCAGCCGCGGUAAUACGUAGGGUGCAAGCGUUAAUCGGAAUUACUGGGCGUAAAGCGUGCGCAGGCGGUUUGCUAAGACCGAUGUGAAAUCCCCGGGCUCAACCUGGGAACUGCAUUGGUGACUGGCAGGCUAGAGUAUGGCAGAGGGGGGUAGAAUUCCACGUGUAGCAGUGAAAUGCGUAGAGAUGUGGAGGAAUACCGAUGGCGAAGGCAGCCCCCUGGGCCAAGUACUGACGCUCAUGCACGAAAAGCGUGGGGAGAUAACGGAUUUAAUACCCUGGUAGUCCACG
RNAcentral lists this ribosomal RNA (451 nucleotides) under uncultured bacterium. RNAcentral's name for it is "partial 16S ribosomal RNA". It matches the Rfam family "Bacterial small subunit ribosomal RNA", at positions 357 to 799 of the family's 1533-position model. The record is from RNAcentral.